AAAUCUAGUAUUUAUAUAUGAAAAGAAAAGGGAAUCGAAGAAGAAUAGAUCUGGUCUUUACUCAGUAGCGAUUUCGUUUGCUGGAGCAGCUUUCAUCUUUUGUUUCUUUUUAUCUAUCUCUCUGUCACCAAGUUGAAAAAGACGAAGUUGACUAGUAGCGGAGAAAUGGAAAGUAAACCUAAACGACGCAUCUAAUAUGAAAAAUAAAGAAUCUAUUACAAAGAAGAGAGGUUGUAGAAAUCAACUGGAGGUAACGUAACAUCGAAUCAUCGAUGGUCCAAAGGAAAGGUAUGAGCGGACUAAGCCUCUAUUUGUCGCGAGUUCGCGGAAAAAAAAAAGACACCCUCAAACUUUGUUGCCAGAUCUUCAUCUUGUGUGUUAUGGUUAUGAAAAGCGGACUUAGAGAUGUGAUCCCUUUCAUAUUUCUUCGUUUGACAUAGAAAAUAGAACUCAACUCAAGAGAAGAGAAUAUUAAAUAAUGCUUGAAAUCCCAGGUUACAAAAAAAAAAGAAUAUUAAAUAAUGUUUGUUGGUGGAA
Raphanus sativus (radish) is the source of this 537-nucleotide long non-coding RNA. RefSeq lists it as uncharacterized. The transcript has 2 exons. The record is from RefSeq and is a predicted model, not a curated record. Lineage: Eukaryota; Viridiplantae; Streptophyta; Magnoliopsida; Brassicales; Brassicaceae.